RNAcentral lists this ribosomal RNA (492 nucleotides) under uncultured bacterium. Its description in RNAcentral is "partial 16S ribosomal RNA". It matches the Rfam family "Bacterial small subunit ribosomal RNA", at positions 29 to 507 of the family's 1533-position model. The record is from RNAcentral.
AGUGAACGCUGGCGGUAGGCCUAACACAUGCAAGUCGAACGGCAGCACAGUAAGAGCUUGCUCUUACGGGUGGCGAGUGGCGGACGGGUGAGGAAUACAUCGGAAUCUACUUUUUCGUGGGGGAUAACGUAGGGAAACUUACGCUAAUACCGCAUACGACCUACGGGUGAAAGCAGGGGAUCUUCGGACCUUGCGCGAUUGAAUGAGCCGAUGUCGGAUUAGCUAGUUGGCGGGGUAAAGGCCCACCAAGGCGACGAUCCGUAGCUGGUCUGAGAGGACGAUCCGCCCCACUGGAACUGAGAAACGGUCCCGACCCCUACGGGAGGCAGCAGUGGGGAAUAUUGGACAAUGGGCGCAAGCCUGAACCAGCCAUACCGCGUGGGUGAAGAAGGCCUUCGGGUUGUAAAGCCCUUUUGUUGGGAAAGAAAAGCAGCAGGUUAAUACCCCGCUGUUCUGACGGUACCCAAAGAAUAAGCACCGGCUAACUUCGUG